GUCCAGCUGAAGAGUCUCACAUUAGUACGAAACGUGCGUUCUGGAU
This is a non-coding RNA of Schistosoma mansoni, 46 nucleotides long. The record is from Rfam. Lineage: Eukaryota; Metazoa; Platyhelminthes; Trematoda; Strigeidida; Schistosomatidae.